UUUGAAUGCCCUAAAUUUAAACUCUUUUCUAUCUCAAUUCUCAAACACUCUUCGACCUCUUCUCUCUCAACACCCAACGACUACUACUUUACCUCUCUUCACUCUCUUAUCUCUCGAACAAGGUCAAGCGACUUGCAUAUCCUCGUCGCGCUCAAAAUUGCUAAAAGAUAAAGACCCCAAAGAGUCUACUAACUCAAACACGCUCAACUGCUCAAAGAGUUAAAGACCUAAAGUUGUUGAAGCUCAUAGUUUAAGGGAUUGAUAUGUUUUCGUCGUUGGUUGUGGAAUGAGGUGAAAGUUCUUAUUCAACAGUUAACGAAUUGAAGAGUUGUCUCACAAUACUAGACGAGGAGGAAGACAAAGAAGUUGUCACUAAUCUAUAAUUGCUAUGAAUUGUUUGAGUUGUUUUAUUAUGAACAAUUUCAUUGGUACUUGAGAAUUCGCUUUUAAACUUGAAUAUUUGCUGGAGUAAUUUUAUUGGAAUUGAUAUAUUGAUUAUAUAAAUAGAGAGAGAGAUCAAAUAAAAAAAAUA
Sesamum indicum (sesame) is the source of this 532-nucleotide non-coding RNA. NCBI's taxonomy places the organism in Eukaryota, Viridiplantae, Streptophyta, Magnoliopsida, Lamiales, Pedaliaceae. The record is from RefSeq and is a predicted model, not a curated record.